RNAcentral lists this small RNA (68 nucleotides) under Acididesulfobacillus acetoxydans. RNAcentral describes it as "Peptococcaceae bacterium INE non-coding RNA". The record is from RNAcentral. Lineage: Bacteria; Bacillati; Bacillota; Clostridia; Eubacteriales; Peptococcaceae.
GUUUCAAUUCCUCAUAGGCAGGCUAUCGGCUUUAGCGCAAUUUCUUAUUUCUUGGUGUUCGGCGCGUG